Molecule: long non-coding RNA, 1116 nt
Filed under: Mus musculus (house mouse)
Lineage: Eukaryota; Metazoa; Chordata; Mammalia; Rodentia; Muridae
Description: RIKEN cDNA 1810053B23 gene
Source: RNAcentral
ACACAGGGCUGUAGGCAAGAGUUGCUUUGGGCUGUGGGGACAUCAGAUGGAGCUGUUACUGAUGGGGGUUGAGUGGAGAUCUCUCUGGUUGCUCUAUGGAAGGCUGAUGGUGGAAGGAGGAUUCUGGAGGUCUGCUGUGUGUGGGGAGGGGGUUCCAUCCAUGCCCCAAAUUUACUCAGUGGCUACAGGGUCUUGGGAAGUCACCCUCCCCAGUUUGUUUUCUUCUGCUCAUGUUUAGCUUAAGAGACCAUGAUUGCUCUCAGGGAGUUAUAUCUGCAUGUAUGUCUGCAUAGCAUGUACCUUCCUGGUACCUCUGGAAGCCAAAAGAAGGCCUCAGCUAUCCUGGAACUUGAGUUACAGAUGGUUGUGAGCCACCACAUAGGAAUGUUGGGAACUGAACCUGGGUCCUCAGGAAGACUGGCCAGUGUUCUUAACUGCUGAGUCAUCUCUCCAGCCUUGCACAGGGGAACAGCUGGAGGUUGCAAACAUGGUCGAGAAAGAACUCGCAGCUGAGACCCAUCUCAGGAGGAUCAUCUCCAGACAUCGAAGGGCAUCAUUAUCACGGAUAAGAACACAGAUGCUGGGGCUGGAGAGAUGGCGCAGAGGUUAAGAGCUGGCACUAAUCUUUCAGAGGACUGGAGUUUGGUUCCCAUCCCCAUGUUGGGCAGAUCAUGACGACCUGUGACUACAGCUUCAGAGGGCCUAGAACCUUCUUCUGGAGACCCUGCAUGCUCUGCCUUCAUGUGCUCCUUCCCCUAAGACACAGACGCCUUCCUAACCGUCUCUGGUGACAACAGGACAGGAACAUCACAGCUGUUUAUGUGCUAUGAUUUCCUAUGUGUGCACACAGGAAUAAGACUCUCUUGCCUUGCCCACAAACCACUCUUCACUCUUGGGAUGACCUUGCUCCAGCUGGGAUCAGAAGUUCUAGAGCAUUCUGGAAGAAAGAUGACUGCUUCCUGGGGAAGAGAAGGAAGAUUAGUCAACAUGACAUGGUUUAUCCUUUGUAUGGGAAGACAGGAUGAGAAAGCUGGCCUUGAAGGACUGCAUCAGACCCCCACUUCAAAGCUUCCACUGCUCUUCAGCUUGAAGACAUUAAAUUGCCCAUCUUCAGAA